CCUACGGGGGGCAGCAGUGGGGGAUAUUGCACAAUGGAGGCAACUCUGAUGCAGCGCUGCCGCGUGAGGGAAGACGGUCUUCGGAUUGUAAACCUCUGUCUUUGGGGAAGAAAAUGACGGUACCCAUAGCGGAAGCUACGGCAAACUCCGGGCCACAAGCCACGGUCAUACGUAGUGAGCGCAGGUGGUCGGGAAUUACUGGUAGAAAAGAGGGAGCAGGCGGCAGCAAAGGUCGGUGGGGAAAGCCCGAAGCUAACCUUCAUUAAGCCAUAGAGACCGGGCGGCUAGAGUGCAGGAGAGGGUCGUAGAAUUCCAGGUGUAGCGGUGAAAUGCGUAGAUAUAUGGAGGAAUACCAGUGGCGAAGGCGACGACCUGGAC
RNAcentral lists this ribosomal RNA (378 nucleotides) under uncultured bacterium. Its description in RNAcentral is "partial 16S ribosomal RNA". It matches the Rfam family "Bacterial small subunit ribosomal RNA", at positions 338 to 734 of the family's 1533-position model. The record is from RNAcentral.